AGGACUUGGAAGAGCAGCUGAACGGAAUGGACAGUGUCUUGAAAGGAGGAUAUAAGAUGAACAUCAACAAAAGCAAAAUGAGGAUAAUGAAAUGUAGUCGAAUUAAGUCGGGUGAUGCUCAAGCAAUUAGAUUGGGGAAUGAGACAGGUAAAGUAAUAAAGGAGUUCUGCUAUUUGGGGAGCAAAAUAACUGUUGAUGGUAGACACUUCGUCCAGUGUUGCUGUAGCUUUUGAUAUUGUACAAACUGGCAAAGGUUCAGAUUCAUCGUUGUCUUUACUUUCUUCACUUAUCGAUAUCGUCAAUUGAAGACCUCCUACGAUUCCAAUUUUUCUCGAAGUAAGUCCGUGCUCUGUUUACAUUGAAAAAAAUACUCAGCUGAAUAACUUUUGAUCUUUAACCUCCAGAAUUUUUCAGAUGGAACCAAGGGUAGAUAGUGGCCUCCGAGCUGUUUCUUUACUUACAUCUGUACCUUUGUUGAAUUACAUUAUCAUAGUGCAAGUUGGUCAUACAAUUUUGAUGCAAAAGUGAACCUGAAAACAUGAUAAAAUGUGGACGUCUCUGGAGAAAGCUCAGUGUGUGGGGCCUGGUAGAUACAGACGAUACCUGAUACCCAAAUGCAACAAACCUUUCAGACUUGGAAUACAUCAUUUAUGGAAACAGGUAGUGUUCUCCAUAAAAAAAACAGGGCUGGUCACCACGAGUUUCAGAUGCCAUUGUGGACAGGGUACGGCAGGCGUUUGCAAGGAGUUCUAUAAAUUCUGUAUGUACUGCAGCCAGGGAGUUGGAAAUGAGAAGAUCGACAUGGCACAAUCUCUUGCAUAUGAGGAGUUCCUGUUACAUAUACAGCACUUGACACUGCUUGUGAGAAAACAUUAUUAAUCAGCAUUGAUGGUGAACUUGGUCCCUAGCACCCACUAGUGGGCGUCUCCACUUCCAUAGCAGGCAGUAGACAGUUGGACCCUAAAAUAUUUAUAUUAGGGUUUCACAAAACUUUGAAAAAAAUAUUUGGUCAUACAAUUUUGAUGCGAAAUGGAACCUGAAAACCUGCUAAAAUGUGGAUACCAGUGGAUAAAGCUCAAUGUGUGUGGCCUGGUAUAUACAGAUGAUAUCAGAUACCGAAGUGCAAUGAUCCUUUCGGACUUGGAAUACAUCAUUUAUGGAAACAGUGCUCACAAGACAUUUACAGUGGGGUGUGCAGUUGAGAACAGUUCUCCAUCUACCCCUCAGUGCUCACCAGAAUUAUCCAAAGUGGAGCACUGUGCCAAUUCCAAGAAGCAGGCCAAAGAUGUCCUGGUAAGCAGCACAUUUUCAAUGCUGCGAGACAAACAAACAGCAAUGAAUGGGAGCAAUGAGGAUGACAAGUUGGGUGAACAUGUUGCAGCUGAGCUGAUAACAACUAAAAAUAGAAAAUUAAAUGCAGAGGCAAAGUGAAUGUUAUCAUGAAUGCCAUCAUGGGUGCAAUU
Molecule: RNA transcript, 1463 nt
Organism: Schistocerca piceifrons (Central American locust)
Lineage: Eukaryota; Metazoa; Arthropoda; Insecta; Orthoptera; Acrididae
Exons: 5
Source: RefSeq, a predicted model, not a curated record